This 439-nucleotide ribosomal RNA is filed under the name uncultured bacterium. RNAcentral describes it as "partial 16S ribosomal RNA". It matches the Rfam family "Bacterial small subunit ribosomal RNA", at positions 339 to 795 of the family's 1533-position model. The record is from RNAcentral.
CUACGGGAUGCUGCAGUGGGGGAUAUUGCACAAUGGGCGAAAGCCUGAUGCAGCAACGCCGCGUGAAGGAAGACGGAUUUCGGUCUGUAAACUUCUAUCAGCUGGGAAGAAAAUGACGGUACCAGACUAAGAAGCCCCGGCUAACUACGUGCCAGCAGCCGCGGUAAUACGUAGGGGGCAAGCGUUAUCCGGAUUUACUGGGUGUAAAGGGUACGUAGGCGGUCGCUUAAGUCAGAUGUGAAAGCCCGAAGCUCAACUUCGGGACUGCAUUUGAAACUGGGUGACUAGAGUACAGGAGAGGAAAGCGGAAUUCCUAGUGUAGCGGUGAAAUGCGUAGAUAUUAGGAAGAACACCAGUGGCGAAGGCGGCUUUCUGGACUGUAACUGACGCUGAGGUACGAAAGCGUGGGGAGCGAACAGGAUUAGAUACCCGGGUAGUC